This 288-nucleotide ribosomal RNA is filed under the name uncultured bacterium. RNAcentral's name for it is "partial 16S ribosomal RNA". It matches the Rfam family "Bacterial small subunit ribosomal RNA", at positions 773 to 1060 of the family's 1533-position model. The record is from RNAcentral.
GUGGAUUAGAUACCCUGGUAGUCCACGCCGUAAACGAUGAGUGCCAGGUGUCGGGGGUAUCGACCCCCCCGGUGCCGUCGCCAACGCAUUAAGCACUCCGCCUGGGGAGUACGGCCGCAAGGUUGAAACUCAAAGGAAUUGACGGGGGCCCGCACAAGCGGUGGAGCAUGUGGAUUAAUUCGUCACUAACCGAAGAACCUUACCCAGGUUUGACAUCUAUCGCACCGGGGUGAAAGCCUCGUUCCCUUCGGGGACGGUAAGACAGGUGUUGCACGGUCGGCGUCAGCU